UACGUGAGGGUUCAUUUACUAGCCUCUCUCCUGAGUGCUCAGGUGAUUCUGAGUUCCCGAGGCAGACUCAUUAGUGGUCCACCAACACCCACUCCUCCCCUCUGCCUUGCUGGGAGACCCUCCACUUGUUACAGUAGAAUCCAUUCUCCUUGCAGUUGGAGGCACACUAGAGCAGAAGUCCAAGGGUUUCUGAAGAAUCUUUGACUUUCCUUAUAAAAGGCACAGAUAUGACCGCAGCCUCCUCUUUCGUCACUUCUUGCUGUCUGGAAAGUAGACCGGAUGUCUGGAACUGCAGCAGCCCUUAUGGAACCAAAGGAAACGAGCCAGAGGAGAGAGUCAACCUGACAAGAUGAGGACAAACAGGAGCCAGGAUGGCCCGGUCCAGCAACAGAAGCAAGGCCAGCUACCCCCGGGUCCUCAGCAUGCAGGACCCACAAGGGCUCUUGCCAGGGACUCCAGUCUCUCUGCUCCCAGCAGCACACACAGAACAGCCCAACACUCAGGCCACACCUUCAUUCAAGGAGCAUAUGGUGAGUGGGGGGGGGGGGGGCAAGUGGGCAUGUCACCACCAGCAAUCCCAAGCCUCAGACGAAUCUGUUCAUUUAGGGAAAAGGUGGGAAGAACCCCAGCACUUCAAGGCUGCUGUGCUUCUCUUGAACAAAUUCUGAAAUCCAUACCUCCAACAUGAUUUUUAGUUUCUGACUUAAAAUGCAGUAAAGCAACUGUAUGUGAAUAUUUUGAAUUUGCAAAUGACUCAUGUACUCAGCAGCCCAUAAUCUUCUCGUGGGCAGGAGAGGGGCCUGGAUGCCUGCUAAGAUCCCUGCUCAGCUGAGGGUGAAAGGAAUCUGUGCAUCACAGGAUCCUGCUGUGUGCAGGAGACCCCACCUCCAGCGCUUCCUUUAACCCCACACCCACCUCCACGGUGAGAUCUUAUUACCUCUCUUUUAUACAUUUUGAACCUGAGUCUCGGAGGUUGAGCGAUUUUGCCCAAAGCUACGACUGGUAGUGCCAAUCAGACUCCCCAACAUUUCUCUCGGUUAGCACCAGCUCUGUGCCCAGUGCCUGACUGGCCUGAGUCUUGAAUCCUGAUGGACACUGUCAGGGAAGAGCCCGCUUGGCUGCAACCUUAGAAGCAUAGGUUUUCUUCCUUGCCCACCUCUCUUUCCUUCCUUCCUUUAUCUCUCCCUCUCUUCCUUUCUCAUGUUUUAUUUUUUGGUAGGUGGUGGGGGGAAAUCAAACUUCAGAGUUUAGAAGCUCCCGAAUUUCUCCUCGAUGUAUUGACUUGGGGAAUUGCUACAUUGCCCUCUGGACUAUUUCGAGAGAAUGUGAGUUGGGAUCUGUGAAAGAAGACAGUAAUAGAUGUGAACGCUUUACCAGGAUGCAACAAAGCUGUGUUCAUAAGGAGCCGACUGGGGUCCAUCUGUUUAAUUCUCUUCUCUUCUUGAGAGAAAAUAACAGAACUAUGUCAAAGUAACCCUGAGGAUAGACUCACAAUGGCCUUUCUAAUGUCCAGUGUGUGGAAAGAUAGCUCAACAUCAGAGCUACGGGUAUUGUGUACAAAUACCCCAUACCUGGAAGACUUCUUGAUUACAUUCAUAUCUACCUCAACCUCCAGAAUGCUGUCCUGUGGCCAAAGGAGUGAGUGCAGGUGUGUGGGAAGGUUGGAGAAGAGAUGGACACCGUCAGGACACCGUUCCACGGGGCAGCCCAGAGGAAGCAGCUGGAGAGACCAGGACGAGAUGGUCCCAGUUCAGUUCGGGUUGUGGCCUCCAAUUUGUAUGCUAACGUCCUCAGCCCCAGCACCUCAACAUGUGAUCUUAUUUGCAGAUGUAGCUAGUUAAGAUGAGGUCAGCCUGGGACAGCGUGGACCUCUAGUGCAGUAUGUCUGUUGUCCAUACAAAAAAACUGAAACUGGGGGACAAGCGGACAGACCAAGCCCGAGGUGAUGCCAGGUAUAGGUGGAGGCAGAGAUUUGGGUGGUCUCCAUAAGCCAUGGAGUGCCGUAGUGCCCAGGUGCCAGCACACCCAGAGGCCAGGGAAAGGCUGCCCACUCUUCCUGGCAGCCUGCGGACACCUUGGUAUCCACUUUCCUGCCUGCAGAGCUGGGAGAUGACAAAUUGCUGCUAAGUCUCCCAGUUGGUGGCACUUUGUUAGAACAGCCCUGACCAAUGAAUAUGCCCUUCAAGGACACUGACCUUGAUGACUAGGAAGUUUCCCACACGUCUGCUGAUUUCUUCAUGCGUUUUCCUUUCCUUUGUAGAAUAGUUAUUGGGCCGCAUGUUGACCACCCUGCUGAGCCCUUCCUUGACCCCAAGAGUCUUGUUCCUGGGAGAGAAUGUGCCCCGUACCUUGGUGUGACCUUAAGGCUGUCACGUGCUGAGUUAGGUGAUGUAGGAGCAUUGUGUGCAUGCAGUGAGUGUGCAUGUGAGAGUGUGUGCAGUAUAUGUGUGUGAGUGCAUGAGAGUGAACACGUCACCGUGUGUACCUGCAGGUGUGCACAACAGUGUGACUGUUCCUGGGUGUGAGCGUGUGUGAGCCGGAGUGAGGUCUCAGAGGCUCGGCCCCUUGUUGUUCUGGAGGUGGAGGCUGAGUGUGUCACUGGAGAGAAGGAAACCUGCCCAAAGUUCCAGCACAGGGGCCUGCGAGGGGGCAGCUCCACCCUCUGGAGGGCCCAGAGUUUUCCAGUGGGGUCCUGCGGGGGUCGGGCUAGGACUGGACUGGACUCACAGCUGGGACCCGCAUGAGAGAAAGGAAAGAGCAUUAAAGCUUUUCCAACAGCCUCCCUGUUUUCACCCCUGGGGAGUUCACCAGGAGUGGUGAGGCCGCAGAUGGGAGAGUUAUGCAGCCAUUGAAGGUCCACUUCGAGGAAUUUUUAAUCCCCGGGGAAGCUGCUUGUGGGUGGAAAGUAGAGCGACCUUCAACUCAGGAGUCCUGCAGACUCACUCGUCCACAUCUGGGCUCACGCGCGUUGCUGGCGGUACAUCCUCGGGCACCACCGCCCCUCCCUGCCUCGGGUUCUGUAAGACGGGUGCCACAAGCCUACCAGUCCCAGAGGCAGUGGGUGACACUGAGGGGUUCCCAGCACCAGAAGCCCUGACCUGUGGCAUUUGCUGUCAUGACCACCAUUCCCAGGAUGACCAAUAUCAAGCUACUGAUGGUUUAAUGACUUAUUCACAAAAUUUCUGAAAAUUUGACACCCACACAAGCCAGGGGAGCUGACCCAGCUCACCUCCAGAGGGUUACUCAGGAGAUUAAAGGACUGUACAUACCGAACACUGAGCAACGCCUAGCCCAAGAGACAAAUGGGAGCUGUCAUUACUAUUGUAUUUUAACACAUUGUCAUAGAUACAUAAGUGCAAUAAAAAGAGUGGCCAGUAUGGUUGCACUCGCUUGUAAUCCCAAUGACUCAUGAGGCUGAGGCAGGAGGAUCACAGGUUUGAGGUCAGCCUCAGCAACUUAGUGAAGCCCCGUCUCAAAAUAGAAAAUACAGGGUGCUGGGGGUGUGGCUUGGUGGUUGAGUGUUCCUGUGUUCCAUCUCUGUACUAAAAACAAAAAAAGUUAAAAAUAAAAUAAAUAAAAAGAGCAAUGAUGUGUGACCGAGGAAGGGGUUAGUCUGGUUUUAUAGGUUUAAGGCUC
Molecule: long non-coding RNA, 3636 nt
Filed under: Marmota monax (woodchuck)
Lineage: Eukaryota; Metazoa; Chordata; Mammalia; Rodentia; Sciuridae
Source: RNAcentral